RNAcentral lists this transfer RNA (75 nucleotides) under Pyramimonas orientalis virus. RNAcentral describes it as "tRNA-Thr". It matches the Rfam family "tRNA". Rfam says of the family: Transfer RNA (tRNA) molecules are approximately 80 nucleotides in length. Their secondary structure includes four short double-helical elements and three loops (D, anti-codon, and T loops). Further hydrogen bonds mediate the characteristic L-shaped molecular structure. tRNAs have two regions of fundamental functional importance: the anti-codon, which is responsible for specific mRNA codon recognition, and the 3' end, to which the tRNAs corresponding amino acid is attached (by aminoacyl-tRNA synthetases). tRNAs cope with the degeneracy of the genetic code in two manners: having more than one tRNA (with a specific anti-codon) for a particular amino acid; and 'wobble' base-pairing, i.e. permitting non-standard base-pairing at the 3rd anti-codon position. The record is from RNAcentral. Lineage: Varidnaviria; Bamfordvirae; Nucleocytoviricota; Megaviricetes; Imitervirales; Allomimiviridae.
GCCCCUUUAGCAUAGUUCGGUUAAUGCGCUCGCUUUGUAAGCGAGAGAUCGUUGGUUCGAAUCCAACAGGGGGCA